CAAAAGUCUAGUUAGUUUCUUUCCAUUAAUUAGGCCAAAUUACAAGAAAAAUUUGCUAAAUUUGUGCUAUGUGUUUCAAUUUUAAUCAUAUGCUUUGAUUUUGUCAAUUAUCAAUUUUAAACUUCCAAUUUGCUAUAUUUUCCAUUAAUUCUUGAGAACAUCCUCAUUUCUAUCACUAUUCAAGAAGUAUUUCCUGCAAGAUACAAAUUAUGAAUCAUGUGAAAACGCUUCCCAUUAUAUUGCUGAUUGUCUUUAUGCAUCAAUUUUGCACUUCACUAGACACCAUAACCAUUAACCAACCCAUUGUAGAUGGAGACGUUAUAGUUUCUACAGGGGAAACCUUUGCACUUGGUUUUUUCAGUCCAGGUAAAUCGAGCUACCGUUAUCUUGGAAUUUGGUACAACAAAAUUUCCGAAAAAACAGUUGUUUGGGUCGCAAAUCGGGAUUCUCCUAUCAAUGAUACAUCUGGUGUCCUCUCAAUCACCAGUCACGGAAACCUUGUCCUUAACAGCAGAAACCAAACGACUCCCCUAUGGUUCACAAACGUUUCGGCUUUGCCAACAAACAAUUGUGUAGCUCAACUCUUAGAUUCGGGAAAUCUUGUAUUGUUUCAUGGCGGAAGUGCCAUAUGGCAGAGCUUUGAACACCCGACAAAUCACGAGCUUCCCAUCUCAAAACUCGGGCUAGACAGAAGAAAAGGUCUGAACUGGUUCCUAACAUCUUGGAAAUCUUCAGAUGAUCCUGGUACUAGCAAUUUCUCGUAUAGGUUCAACCCUGAAGGUUAUCCGCAAUUGUUCUUAUACGAGGGUCAUGUUCCAAAGUGGAGGGCUGGUUAUUGGAAUGGCGUUAGAUGGUCUGGAGUACCUGCGAUGCAGAGAUAUUCAUUUAUCUUCAACUACACCAUUGUGAACAAUGAGAACGAGAUUUCCGUGUCGUGGAACGAUGUAUAUGGCUCAGUCUUGACAAGAAUAGUGGUGAAUGAGUCCGGCCUUUUCCAACGGUUGAAAUGGCAUGAGGACGAAGGUCAAUGGAAAGAGUUCUUUUAUGCGCCCAAGGAACAGUGUGACAGCUAUGGAUUAUGUGGAGCCUAUGGUAACUGUGUUCGGUACAAUGGUGAAUUCGACUGCACUUGUCUUCCCGGGUACCAGCCCAAAUCACCUCAAGAAUGGCAUCGGAAAGGUGGGUCAGGCGGGUGCGUUAGGAAGAAUCAGACGGCACUCUGCAGAAACGGUGAAGGAUUCGUAGAGGUGACAAAUGUUAAGGCUCCGGAUACUUCAGUUGCCCGUGUAUUGGCAAAUUUGGAUAUGAAAGCUUGUAAAGAUAAGUGCUUGAGGAACUAUUCAUGCCUUGCAUACGCAAAUCUGGGUGUGAUAAAAGGAAAUGGGUGUUUGACAUGAAUGGUGAUUUGGUAGAUACAAGAGUAUUUACAGUAGGGGGACAAAACUUAUAUGCGCGACUGGAUGCAAUUAUCAGUAGAAAUUUGGGAUUUUUCCGUUAUUUUUGUUAAUUAAUUGUGUUUAAAUGAACAUUUCACUCACUUUCUCACCCCACCAUCUUUCAGGAGCUUGCUCUAUGGCUAACUGUUUAGAUGUGGCUGUUUACUACACUAAUAGCUGCGGUUUUUCUUUUCUUUUCUUCCUUUUCAGCUCAAUAUGCAAAUAAUUCCAAACACCUUCUUGCAAAGAAAGGGAUACUGCUAGUUAUGAUACUAUCCUUGGCUGCAGGAAUUUCCUCUUUCGUUCUUUCUCAUACUGGUUGGUAAAAAGGCAGAGGAGAUUAUAUGAUACUACCAAUGUGUCUGCUGUAUAAAGCUCUAAUGCUCUAGGCAGAGAUGCUGCCAUCGGAAAAGGAGUCCUCUUUGCCAUAGAAGCCUUGCUUAAUGAGCAUGGUAUGUCAAUAUCUGGACAACGGCUUGUCAUACAAGUUCACUUUCUAGACUGUAUCGGCUUCUUUGGUCAAUCCAGUAUAGGAAGGUGCACAAAGAGGAUUUUGGCAUUUAAAAUUAUGAAGCGUUGAAGACGAGUGCCUGCCUACAUAGGACUCUUAAGCCCUUUAUGUAAGUGAAAAAUAAGCAUUAAAAUUAUCUAAUUGUACGCAAUUAGGAAUUAAUUGUUGUUCUUGAUUAGGAAUGAUUAUUACAUGUUUGUAGACUUAUGCUUCAAAGAAUUUGGUGAUAGGUUAUUUAAGAUUUUGGAAUUAUUUUUGUAAUAUCAUUACCAUGUUAAGUAAACUACUAUUUUCUAUUUUUUAUUCUCA
Molecule: unclassified non-coding RNA, 2256 nt
Filed under: Hevea brasiliensis (rubber tree)
Lineage: Eukaryota; Viridiplantae; Streptophyta; Magnoliopsida; Malpighiales; Euphorbiaceae
Source: RNAcentral